GACUGGAGCAGAGUGAGAAGAGGCUAAGGCAGCAGCAGGCAGAGAAGGAUUCCCAGAUCAAGAGCAUCAUUGGCAGGGGUAAGGAUGCCUGAGGCUUUUC
This 100-nucleotide small RNA is filed under the name Pan troglodytes (chimpanzee). Its description in RNAcentral is "processed transcript". The record is from RNAcentral. Lineage: Eukaryota; Metazoa; Chordata; Mammalia; Primates; Hominidae.